Molecule: long non-coding RNA, 284 nt
Filed under: Elaeis guineensis (African oil palm)
Lineage: Eukaryota; Viridiplantae; Streptophyta; Magnoliopsida; Arecales; Arecaceae
Description: long non-coding RNA (EGUI_LNC010189)
Source: RNAcentral
AGUUACUGGUAGAUGAAGACUUUUAGUUGGUGUUCUACCUUUCUUCUUCCUUCUCGGUUUCACGGAUGCCCUGUGCUGAUGACCGAACGCUUCUUCGGUUGGUAAGGAGGUAUUCAUCUUGAUUUUUUGCCGAGGAUUGAGAAAGGUAUCUUCGCCUCAGAUAUUCUCUUACCUUUGAUCUAUUGCCGAGGCUGAGAUUGGUAGAUCCGAUUGGAUCUUUGUUGCCUUCUAUUCGAUACUCUGUUGCCUUCUUGUUGAUUUCGAUUUUGGAUAUUUUAUACCUC